UGGGGAAUCUUGGACAAUGGGGGCAACCCUGAUCCAGCCAUGCCGCGUGAGUGAUGAAGGCCUUAGGGUCGUAAAGCUCUUUCGCCUGUGAAGAUAAUGACGGUAGCAGGUAAAGAAACCCCGGCUAACUCCGUGCCAGCAGCCGCGGUAAUACGGAGGGGGUUAGCGUUGUUCGGAAUUACUGGGCGUAAAGCGCACGUAGGCGGACCAGAAAGUUGGGGGUGAAAUCCCGGGGGCUCAACCCCGGAACUGCCUCCAAAACUAUUGGUCUAGAGUUCGAGAGAGGUGAGUGGAAUUCCAAGUGUAGAGGUGAAAUUCGUAGAUAUUUGGAGGAACACCAGUGGCGAAGGCGGCUCACUGGCUCGAUACUGACGCUGAGGUGCGAAAGUGUGGGGAGCAAACAGGAUUAGAUACCCUGGUAGUCCACACCGUAAAACGAUGAAUGCCAGUCGUCGGGUAGCAUGCUAUUCGGUGACACACCUAACGGAUUAAGCAUUCCGCCUGGGGAGUACGGUCGCAAGAUUAAAACUCAAAGG
Molecule: ribosomal RNA, 536 nt
Filed under: uncultured bacterium
Lineage: Bacteria
Description: bacterial SSU rRNA
Rfam family: Bacterial small subunit ribosomal RNA
Source: RNAcentral